UACCACCUUGAUACCAGGAGCAUCUUGAGGUCAGCACAUUCCCCUAAAGGGUCUGUGUAGAAUGAGAGCAGCUGGAAACCACACAGAACAGGAUGCAUAAGAAAUAGGAAGUAGAAGCAUGGAAGGAGGGGAUGAUCCUCUGAAAACGAGAGACGUGUACUGGCCACAGCAAGCUUAGGAUGACGUCCAGAGUGAACGCACGGGGCUAGGAGCAAACAUUGGACUUGGUGAAUAAGGGAGGACAUGUGCAGGUAAUUGUUUCCUGAACUAGAAAGUCUCUGAUCUGGCUUGUGAAUUCAAUCAAAAAGAGCACUUCGAUCUUAUAAAACCAACUGAAAGAACCACUUCUCCUUGUUUGUAUGAAGAGAAGUCAGUAAGGAGUGACUCUCAGAAGACAACUGGAGUGAGGAUACAUGGUGCCACCAUGCCCCCACAAAGCUGAAUAAAGUCUCCCCUGGUCCAGGAUCCCAGUCCUGCCUGAGACCCAGGACAUAAAUACGUUCUAUGGUGGGAUCAGGGUCAUCAAGGUCUGCAUGGUCCCUGUUUCUCUUCUACCCUGAGCUCUUCCUUCUGACUCUCACAGCAACAGCACCCUCCCAAGGUUCCAGCUUCCCUUCAAAGUCACUGUUGGAGUGUUUUCUCUGACUCUACAGAAAGCACCAUUCCUGGAAUGCAGUACACUGCAGCUGCUCCGAGGCAGCCAUUUGGGGCUGAGAAAGCAGCUCUCCACUGCUUCCUCCAAAGGCAGGAGCAGUCCAGUGGCGGGACUGCCCAUGAGUCUCCUCGUCAACAGACCCUGAGCCUCUGAUGUAAGAAGCCAGAUGUGAUGGAGAUAGGUAGGCUCUGCUUACUGCCUGUCACUCUGAGAGACUGGCCUUCUCUCAAGGGAGAGCUCGACGUCACCAUUGUUGGUGAGUUUCGUUUUAGUACACCAGGUGUAAAAAUAACCGCUCAUCCCAGACUGGAGGACUCGGUUUCUGGGUGCUCUUGAGAGUCAGCCUUCCUGAGUUCUCAAACAUAUUUAAUGGGAAGUUGGGAGGGGGAGAGUUAAUGACCAUGAGCACAAAUUCACUUUCAACUGCUGUUACCAUGACAAACUGUUACCAUGACAAUUUAAAAGUUAUUUUGAACCACCAAAAAGAGUCACAGUACUCAGAACUUGUGAAGCCUAGUCCCUCUCUAUGUCACAAUGAGAAGAUUAUUGGGCCAGAACUGGCUGGGGUCAGAUACGAGCAGAUGUCUGGCACCAGCAUCUUUUGGUCCAGAAGAGCGAUUGAGGACUCAGAGUCAGGAGCUUCCCUGAGUCUGAGGAAAGGGACAGGAGAAAUUAGGAGGGCUCCUUGGUUUCUGCUUGUGCUAGAACAUCCUGUAGCCACCAACCCAGAAGCCAUGGCUCAGCGUACAGAUGGAGUGCUGUGACGUCAGGGAAUCGCUUCCAAGAAAUUCAGAAGGAAAGAGGAGAACAUGAGUGUCACUGCAAGGGGACUGGAAAAGAGCUAAUGACCCUGAAGCUGGGUGAUGAGUAGUGGGAUCUAUUGUACUGGUUUUUUCUACUUUUGUGUUUCUACAAAAAGAGGCUUUUUAAAAAAAAUAAUGCUGUUAUGAGCUGAAUUGUGCCCCCCUUCCCAAAUUCAAAUGUUGAAGUCCUAACCCCCAGGACCUCAGAAUGUGACUGUAUUUGGAGACAGGGCUUUUAAAGAGGUAAUUAAGGUGAAACGAGGCCAUAGGGUGGGCCCUGAUCCAAUGUGACUGGUGUCUUUAGUAAGAGGAAAUUAGGACACAGACAUGUGCACACAGAGGAAACCUAUCUGAGAACACUGCCAGAUGGUGGGCACUCGUAAGCCAAGCAGAGAAGAUGCAGAAGAAA
Molecule: long non-coding RNA, 1867 nt
Filed under: Equus asinus (donkey)
Lineage: Eukaryota; Metazoa; Chordata; Mammalia; Perissodactyla; Equidae
Description: lncRNA (ENSEASG00005026358.1)
Source: RNAcentral